Paramormyrops kingsleyae is the source of this 936-nucleotide long non-coding RNA. RefSeq lists it as uncharacterized. The record is from RefSeq and is a predicted model, not a curated record. NCBI's taxonomy places the organism in Eukaryota, Metazoa, Chordata, Actinopteri, Osteoglossiformes, Mormyridae.
ACUCUUCGCGUGCUAUAGUUUAGGACAAAAAUGGGACAUCGAUAAAACAAAUAGGCCUGCUCUAAGUUUUAUUUCUUUGACUAAAUUUCCAAUCAAGAAAUACCGUGUGAUCGUUGACUUGGUCCCGGAGUCGGAUGAGGGCGGUUGUAUAAAUCAACUUCACAAGUCGAUGAGAGAGGGAAGUGAAGUUGUUGUCGCCGUUUUUAUUGUGGAAGAAACGCCUCGUUGAACUUCACUUGACCGGAGGUUGGAAAGAGAAGGAAAAACUUCUCUCCCUGCAUGAAGAUUCGGAGUUCAGGCAGAGGAGGGCGCGCUCGUCACUCGCGCCUUGAUAAAAGCGAACUGCGAUCGUGCAGCAGAUCCAUCGGGAAGCAGGAUCUGCGGGGUAUAAUGGUCCCUCACUUCAAUUCACUCCACAGACCUGAUGACGAUCCGCCUCCGCUGAAGCUUAGGCAUCGACAGAUACCACAGUUCGAUAGAAAGGAAAACAGCUUUGUGUGAUGUGAUGUUUUGUUAUGUUUAACUUCAUAUAUGAUAAGAGCUAGAUUUUGUUGGGAGAACUUAACUCAUUGGAGGUAUUGUGGUGCUGCCGGUUGACCAGUGUAUCUCCCAGCGUGCCUAGCGCCCGCUAUUCAUCUAAAUAGUUGAAGCUAAUAUUUAAUGUUAUUUAUUAAUAUGAUCUCUCUGAAGUUGCUGGGAAUCAUCCACUCUAUCGAAUUGCAGUAUCGGGCGAUUCUUGAGUUAAAUACUUACCCUGCUCGAGAUUAUGGACUAAAUUGAUAACCUUGCGGUUCUCUCCCCAUGUAAUGCGUUUGUUCUAAUACACCUGCAUCUAUUGCUAUUUGCUUUUAUCAAAGCAAAAUUAAACUCAAUCUGAAUCAUAUCACAAUGUCUUUGUCUUGUGGUUUGUCAUGCUUACUCGCCAAAGUAUUGUGU